Molecule: unclassified non-coding RNA, 182 nt
Filed under: uncultured Cordyceps
Lineage: Eukaryota; Fungi; Ascomycota; Sordariomycetes; Hypocreales; Cordycipitaceae
Description: sequence contains ITS1
Source: RNAcentral
CAGAGUUUACAACUCCCAAACCCUUAUGUGAACAUACCUACAGUUGCUUCGGCGGACUCGCCCCGGCGUCCGGACGGCCCUGCGCCGCCCGCGGCCCGGACCCAGGCGGCCGCCGGAGACCACCAAACUCUUUGUAUCAGCAGUCUCUUCUGAAUCCGCCGCAAGGCAAAACAAAUGAAUCA